AGUUCAGUUCAUGGCAUCCAUGCUAUGAAGCAACAGGACCCUGACCCUUUCUGGACACCAGAGAAUGAGGAGAGGGGAAGGAGGAGGAGGGGGGAAGAGGAAAAGAAGAAGAAAGAGAGAUGGGAAAAGGGAAAAUGAGGGGGAGAGAGGGAGAAUAUGCUCAUCAGGUAAUUCUGAAGAUCCGUCUCUUCCAGCUACAAGGUCAAUGAAAAGAGAUUGCCUUCUUCCAGAGGACCUAGCACUUCCCCCACCGAAUUGCCACAGAGAAAUCGUGUUCCUGUCCAAAAUGCUCAUGACACAGAGGACUCCAGAUUUCCCUCACAGUCCCACAAUUAUGGGAUCCCAGAACAUCAGGACAUCCCACCAAAAGCUACAUGCAAAAUUCCUCCAGCAGCUUGUCGAGGGUUGGAUUUAAAGAACUUGGGUCAAGCUGUUGCACAAUAUGCUUCAUACUCCUCUGACUCUGUACUAGAUCCUUGUCGUUUCUCCCAAGCACCACCACAGGUCAAAACACAGAAGCCAAGAACCAAUCCAAAUUCAAAGGUUUCUGAGGCUUUGUGCAGUUACUGUUUGAAGGUUCACCCGAGGCCAGGAAAAAGUACUUCUAAGAAGGAAGAGAGCCAUCCCCCUAUAACUUCAACUGAAACUCAAGUGCCAGCCAGACCUCCAAGUCCAAAACUGUGUCUACCUGGACAAGAGGACACGAGGUCAGUGACAGCCCUUAAGAAGGCUAUAGAAAGCUGCAAAACCUAUCUGGAUUACCUUGUAGAACAGCAAACUUGGGCAAUUCAAUUGGUCUUGGUGCUCACGAAGUCAGAGAAAGGCAUUCCUGACGAUGAAGAUAUACAGAGGAUGUUGCAGGUUGACCCAGCAGAACUCAUUCUUGGCCAUAUCUUAGACAAAAAUGAUUAUGGAGCUGCAACAGCAGCAGCAACAUCGAUAGAAACAGCAACAACAGGGGCAUCAACAUCAGCAGAAACAGCUGCAACAGUGGUGGUAGCAGCAGCAACAGAAACAGCUACGACAAUGGCAGCAGCAGAAGUGACAGUAGCGACAGUGGCAGCAGAAACAGCUACAGUAAUGGCAAUAUCAUCUGCAAUAACAGAUGUAGAUGAAGCAGCAGGGGCAGAUGCAGCAGAUGAUGAAGCAGCAGGGGCAGAUGCAGCAGGGGCAGAGGCAGCAGAUGAUGAAGCAGCAGGGGCAGAUGCAGCAGGGGCAGAGGCAGCAGAUGAUGAAGCAGCAGGGGCAGAUGCAGCAGGGGCAGAGGCAGCAGAUGAUGAAGCAGCAGGGGCAGAGGCAGCAGAUGAUGAGGCAGCAGGGGCAGAGGCAGCAGAUGAUGAGGCAGCAGGGGCAGAGGCAGCAGAUGAUGAGGCAGCAGGGGCAGAGGCAGCAGAUGAUGAGGCAGCAGGGGCAGAGGCAGCAGAUGAUGAGGCAGCAGGGGCAGAGGCAGCAGAUGAUGAGGCAGCAGGGGCAGAGGCAGCAGAUGAUG
This 1489-nucleotide long non-coding RNA is filed under the name Sarcophilus harrisii (Tasmanian devil). Its description in RNAcentral is "lncRNA (ENSSHAG00000028127.1)". Lineage: Eukaryota; Metazoa; Chordata; Mammalia; Dasyuromorphia; Dasyuridae. The record is from RNAcentral.